This 253-nucleotide ribosomal RNA is filed under the name uncultured bacterium. Its description in RNAcentral is "partial 16S ribosomal RNA". It matches the Rfam family "Bacterial small subunit ribosomal RNA", at positions 524 to 776 of the family's 1533-position model. The record is from RNAcentral.
UACGUAGGAUGCAAGCGUUAUCCGGAAUGAUUGGGCGUAAAGCGUCCGCAGGUGGCAGUUCAAGUCUGCUGUCAAAGACCGGGGCUUAACUUCGGAAAGGCAGUGGAAACUGAACAGCUAGAGUAUGGUAGGGGCAGAGGGAAUUCCUGGUGUAGCGGUGAAAUGCGUAGAGAUCAGGAAGAACAUCGGUGGCGAAGGCGCUCUGCUGGACCAUAACUGACACUCAGGGACGAAAGCUAGGGGAGCGAAUGGG